AUGAGUCCAUUAGUUUAAUAAUCACUGGAGGCCCAAAGGCUUGGUGCUUAUUGGCUAAUGGAAUUAUCAUUCAUAAUAUGAUCAUUUGGUUGAGUCUUUCUGAUGGUGGUCAGGUUGGCCGGCCAAAGUCGGGCCUGAUCAUUUAUUGGUCAGAUUUACCAAAUCAAGUCAUGUUAGUGGUUGGACCUAAUCAGAUCUUUUUAGUGGAGGCCAAAGCCUACUGAUUAGGUUCUGGGG
RNAcentral lists this long non-coding RNA (237 nucleotides) under Elaeis guineensis (African oil palm). Its description in RNAcentral is "long non-coding RNA (EGUI_LNC081259)". The record is from RNAcentral. Lineage: Eukaryota; Viridiplantae; Streptophyta; Magnoliopsida; Arecales; Arecaceae.